UACAGAGGUGGCAAGCGUUGUUCGGAAUUACUGGGCGUAAAGGGCGCGCAGGCGGUCUUGCAAGUCCUGUGUGAAAUCCCCCGGCUCAACUGGGGAACUGCACAGGAAACUGCGAGGCUUGAGUUCGGGAGAGGGAAGCGGAAUUCCGGGUGUAGCGGUGAAAUGCGUAGAUAUCCGGAGGAACACCGGUGGCGAAGGCGGCUUCCUGGACCGACACUGACGCUGAGGCGCGAAAGCUAGGGGAG
RNAcentral lists this ribosomal RNA (245 nucleotides) under uncultured Acidobacterium sp. Its description in RNAcentral is "partial 16S ribosomal RNA". It matches the Rfam family "Bacterial small subunit ribosomal RNA", at positions 524 to 768 of the family's 1533-position model. Lineage: Bacteria; Pseudomonadati; Acidobacteriota; Terriglobia; Terriglobales; Acidobacteriaceae. The record is from RNAcentral.